GCUUAGUGUGGCCAAUUCACCCUGAAUGCACCCAAUCUCAUCAGAUGUCGAAAGCUAAGUGGGCUUGAGCCUGGUUGGCACUUGAAUGGGAGAUUGGCUUAGAAUGCUCGAGGUAUUAUAAGCU
Molecule: ribosomal RNA, 124 nt
Filed under: Petromyzon marinus (sea lamprey)
Lineage: Eukaryota; Metazoa; Chordata; Hyperoartia; Petromyzontiformes; Petromyzontidae
Source: RNAcentral